Molecule: ribosomal RNA, 722 nt
Filed under: uncultured bacterium
Lineage: Bacteria
Description: bacterial SSU rRNA
Rfam family: Bacterial small subunit ribosomal RNA
Source: RNAcentral
CGGCAAACGGGUGCGGAACACGUACACAACCUUCCUAUAAGUGGGGAAUAGCCCAGAGAAAUUUGGAUUAAUACCCCGUAACAUAAUGAUGUGGCAUCACAUUGUUAUUAUAGCUUCGGCGCUUAUUGAUGGGUGUGCGGCUGAUUAGAUAGUUGGCGGGGUAACGGCCCACCAAGUCUACGAUCAGUAGCUGAUGUGAGAGCAUGAUCAGCCACACGGGCACUGAGACACGGGCCCGACUCCUACGGGAGGCAGCAGUAAGGAAUAUUGGACAAUGGGCGAAAGCCUGAUCCAGCCAUGCCGCGUGAAGGAUGAAGGUCCUCGGAUUGUAAACUUCUUUUAUUUGGGACGAAAAAAGGGAAUUCUUUCCCACUUGACGGUACCAGAUGAAUAAGCACCGGCUAACUCCGUGCCAGCAGCCGCGGUAAUACGGAGGGUGCAAGCGUUAUCCGGAUUCACUGGGUUUAAAGGGUGCGUAGGCGGGUAGGUAAGUCAGUGGUGAAAUCCUGGAGCUUAACUCCAGAACUGCCAUUGAUACUAUCUAUCUUGAAUAUUGUGGAGGUAAGCGGAAUAUGUCAUGUAGCGGUGAAAUGCUUAGAUAUGACAUAGAACACCCAUUGCGAAGGCAGCUUACUACACAUAUAUUGACGCUGAGGCACGAAAGCGUGGGGAUCAAACAGGAUUAGAUACCCUGGUAGUCCACGCCCUAAACGAUGAUUACU